GCCGGGUGCGGUGGCGCGCGCCUGUAAUCCAAGCUACCGGGAGGCUGAGGCUGGCGGAUCGUUUGAGCUCAGGAGAUCUGAGCUGCAGCGGACUAUGCCGAUCGGGUGUCCACACUAAGUUCGGUAUCGAUAUGGUGCUCCUGGGGGAGCCCGGGACUACCAGGUCGUCUAAGGAGGGGUGCACCGGCCCAGGUCGGAAACGGAGCAGGCCAAAGCCCCCGUGCCGCUCAGUAGUGGGAUCGCGCCUGUGAAUAGACGCUGUAGUGCAGCCUGAGUAAUACAGCGGGACCCAGUCUCUU
This 299-nucleotide signal recognition particle RNA is filed under the name Sparus aurata (gilthead seabream). Its description in RNAcentral is "Metazoan signal recognition particle RNA (ENSSAUG00010008908.1)". It matches the Rfam family "Metazoan signal recognition particle RNA". From Rfam's summary of the family: The signal recognition particle (SRP) is a universally conserved ribonucleoprotein. It is involved in the co-translational targeting of proteins to membranes. The record is from Rfam by way of RNAcentral. Lineage: Eukaryota; Metazoa; Chordata; Actinopteri; Spariformes; Sparidae.